Molecule: ribosomal RNA, 523 nt
Filed under: uncultured marine bacterium
Lineage: Bacteria
Description: bacterial SSU rRNA
Rfam family: Bacterial small subunit ribosomal RNA
Source: RNAcentral
GCUCAGAUGAACGCUGGCGGCGUGCCUAAUACAUGCAAGUCGAGCGAAUGGAUUGAGAGCUUGCUCUCAAGAAGUUAGCGGCGGACGGGUGAGUAACACGUGGGUAACCUGCCCAUAAGACUGGGAUAACUCCGGGAAACCGGGGCUAAUACCGGAUAACAUUUUGAACCGCAUGGUUCGAAAUUGAAAGGCGGCUUCGGCUGUCACUUAUGGAUGGACCCGCGUCGCAUUAGCUAGUUGGUGAGGUAACGGCUCACCAAGGCAACGAUGCGUAGCCGACCUGAGAGGGUGAUCGGCCACACUGGGACUGAGACACGGCCCAGACUCCUACGGGAGGCAGCAGUAGGGAAUCUUCCGCAAUGGACGAAAGUCUGACGGAGCAACGCCGCGUGAGUGAUGAAGGCUUUCGGGUCGUAAAACUCUGUUGUUAGGGAAGAACAAGUGCUAGUUGAAUAAGCUGGCACCUUGACGGUACCUAACCAGAAAGCCACGGCUAACUACGUGCCAGCAGCCGCGGUAAUAC